RNAcentral lists this ribosomal RNA (381 nucleotides) under uncultured eukaryote. RNAcentral's name for it is "SSU rRNA". It matches the Rfam family "Eukaryotic small subunit ribosomal RNA", at positions 587 to 972 of the family's 1831-position model. The record is from RNAcentral.
AGCUCCAAUAGCGUAUAUUAAAGUUGUUGCAGUUAAAAAGCUCGUAGUUGGAUUUGUGGCAGUCGCAUGCGGCCUGACACUUCGUGUUAGUGCCAGCCUGCGUCGCCAUCCUUGGGUGGAACCUGUGUGGCAUUAGGUUGUCGUGCAGGGGAUGCCCAUCUUUUACUGUGAAAAAAUUAGAGUGUUCAAAGCAGGCUUACGCCGUUGAAUAUAUUAGCAUGGAAUAAUAAGAUAGGACCUUGGUACUAUUUUGUUGGUUUGCGCACCGAGGUAAUGAUUAAUAGGGACAGUUGGGGGUAUUCGUAUUCCAUUGUCAGAGGUGAAAUUCUUGGAUUUUUGGAAGACAAACUACUGCGAAAGCAUUUACCAAGGAUGUUUUCA